RNAcentral lists this ribosomal RNA (941 nucleotides) under Staphylococcus aureus. RNAcentral's name for it is "partial 23S ribosomal RNA". It matches the Rfam family "Bacterial large subunit ribosomal RNA", at positions 574 to 1520 of the family's 2925-position model. The record is from RNAcentral. Lineage: Bacteria; Bacillati; Bacillota; Bacilli; Caryophanales; Staphylococcaceae.
UCAGAGCCCGUUAAUGGGUGAUGGCGUGCCUUUUGUAGAAUGAACCGGCGAGUUACGAUUUGAUGCAAGGUUAAGCAGUAAAUGUGGAGCCGUAGCGAAAGCGAGUCUGAAUAGGGCGUUUAGUAUUUGGUCGUAGACCCGAAACCAGGUGAUCUACCCUUGGUCAGGUUGAAGUUCAGGUAACACUGAAUGGAGGACCGAACCGACUUACGUUGAAAAGUGAGCGGAUGAACUGAGGGUAGCGGAGAAAUUCCAAUCGAACCUGGAGAUAGCUGGUUCUCUCCGAAAUAGCUUUAGGGCUAGCCUCAAGUGAUGAUUAUUGGAGGUAGAGCACUGUUUGGACGAGGGGCCCCUCUCGGGUUACCGAAUUCAGACAAACUCCGAAUGCCAAUUAAUUUAACUUGGGAGUCAGAACAUGGGUGAUAAGGUCCGUGUUCGAAAGGGAAACAGCCCAGACCACCAGCUAAGGUCCCAAAAUAUAUGUUAAGUGGAAAAGGAUGUGGCGUUGCCCAGACAACUAGGAUGUUGGCUUAGAAGCAGCCAUCAUUUAAAGAGUGCGUAAUAGCUCACUAGUCGAGUGACACUGCGCCGAAAAUGUACCGGGGCUAAACAUAUUACCGAAGCUGUGGAUUGUCCUUUGGACAAUGGUAGGAGAGCGUUCUAAGGGCGUUGAAGCAUGAUCGUAAGGACAUGUGGAGCGCUUAGAAGUGAGAAUGCCGGUGUGAGUAGCGAAAGACGGGUGAGAAUCCCGUCCACCGAUUGACUAAGGUUUCCAGAGGAAGGCUCGUCCGCUCUGGGUUAGUCGGGUCCUAAGCUGAGGCCGACAGGCGUAGGCGAUGGAUAACAGGUUGAUAUUCCUGUACCACCUAUAAUCGUUUUAAUCGAUGGGGGGACGCAGUAGGAUAGGCGAAGCGUGCGAUUGGAUUGCACGUCUAAGCAGU